UGGAGCAUGUGGUUUAAUUCGAAGCAACGCGAAGAACCUUUACCAGGUCUUGACAUCCCGAUGCUAUUUCUAGAGAUAGAAAGUUACUUCGGUACAUCGGUGACAGGUGGUGCAUUGGUUGUCGUCAGCUCGUGUCGUGAGAUGUUGGGUUAAGUCCCGCAACGAGCGCAACCCCUAUUGUUAGUUGCCAUCAUUCAGUUGGGCACUCUAGCGAGACUGCCGGUAAUAAACCGGAGGAAGGUGGGGAUGACGUCAAAUCAUCAUGCCCCUUAUGACCUGGGCUACACACGUGCUACAAUGGUUGGUACAACGAGUUGCGAGUCGGUGACGGCGAGCUAAUCUCUUAAAGCCAAUCUCAGUUCGGAUUGUAGGCUGCAACUCGCCUACAUGAAGUCGGAAUCGCUAGUAAUCGCGGAUCAGCACGCCCGCGGUCGAAUACGUUCCCGGGCCUU
This 452-nucleotide ribosomal RNA is filed under the name uncultured Streptococcus sp. RNAcentral's name for it is "bacterial SSU rRNA". It matches the Rfam family "Bacterial small subunit ribosomal RNA", at positions 933 to 1382 of the family's 1533-position model. The record is from RNAcentral. Lineage: Bacteria; Bacillati; Bacillota; Bacilli; Lactobacillales; Streptococcaceae.